UUCUCGCGUCUCUCAAAAUUUUAACCCCUAGGAUCCUAGGCCAACAGGAAAGAUUUACUAGAGUAGGAUGGUCGGACACAGAUGAUCGGCCAUACCAAGGCUUUCUAUCCCGUGUGUAGUCCGAGACUCCUUUGUAGAUUGGCUCCCGUGGCCGCGCUUCGACGGAUUAUUAAUUAUCAUUGGCAAGUAAAUGUAGCGUAAAUUUGUUGGUACGAUGACGAUCGAUCGAUAGCCGUUUACGCGAGAAAUGUUCCGUCACACCAAGCGGAGAAUUAAUUCGACGAAUAUAUUAAGCGGUAAAAGCCAACGUGUUCUUGCUGCUCCUCCUUCUCCUAAUAUCGAUCGAAACUUUUGAACAUUUCUCGUCCAGUUAGGAAAAGUCGAAGAACAUCGUCGGAGGGCGCAAAAUGAAAACUUUAUCGUUUCGGGUCUAUUCCACUUGUUCUCUUUCACACCGACGUUUGACGAUCUUGCUUUUAGAUAGAUCAGCGGUUACGUCUCCAGCUAGCAUUAUGGCCAUCUAUUAACGGGGUCAACUAGCGAGGUAGCUACUGGCGCCGCCUCAAAAACAACUAAAAAUUCGAUAGUUGAACUCUAUAAGUUUUAUAACCUGAGGACGGGGACAGGAGGAGAAGAGAAGGAUGUGUCUCGCAGGAAAAUGAUCGUUUUCAUAACUCAUCGGACAGUAGAGUAGAGGGUGAUGUGUCGUACCAAAGGGGAUGACGGAUCAAUGGAAAUAUUUCCUUGUUAUGAGAGGAUUGGCGAGGAUUAGUGAGAAAGAUUUAGACUCAUCCGAAAGUCAGCGUUCGUUAAACGCCUAAAUCCAGAUAUUCAUAUAUCCUUGUCUUGUAUCGUCCUAAGCAGUAAAGCAGUAGUUUGAUCCAAUGAUUAUGUGGAAAUGCGACAAAGUAAAAAUGUUGCUUAAAUAAAGAAAAGAAGAAAAAGAUUAAAAAGAGUAUUGACUCGCGGGAUAGAUAGAUCCGUUAGAUCGGAGGAAAUACAACGUAAGAUAUAAUUACGAGUAGGCAGCUUUGGCAUUAGUUUAUGGUACUCGAGGGACAGACGAAGGGUUGUGACCAUGUUUCUAGGGCUCUGCUAACGGUUUCCCAGUUGUAUAACCGACAGCUAUCAAGCCGCGGUCGAUCUACGAUAAAACAAUGUACAAUUUUACAAUUUGGAAAACAAAAUAUUUGAACAAAUCUGCAAUGGAUAAGGUAUGACGUUAUACCGUGAAUGGAUAUCUUUUGGAAGAAUUAAUAGCGCCUAUAUAAGCAGCAAGCUGUAUCGGCGCAUCGUACAUCGAAUUUAUAUUCUCUUUGUCCUUAUCCGACUUUUUCCAAUCGAUGGCAUAUAAUUUGCCCCUACGCAGAAAAUACAUUCAUUCUAAAGUAAGCUAAUCGACAUGAGACAGAGUUUACCAAAAUAGUGGUAAAGCUUCAUUAAGUUCCAUAAAGCCAUUAUUUUACCAAUGCAACAAUUUUUUACCAUGGAACAAUAAAUAGAUUACCUGAACGAAGCUAUACAAUCGAUCUUUCCCUUAUAAUACAAAUCCUUGUGAGAAACAAACGAUUCUACCGCUCUAAUAUCUUCCAAUUCAUUUAUUAUAUCGCUCAAACUAUCAUAAGCCGGGUAAAUAUGUUUUGGUAUGUCGACUUUUUUCCCUAAUAAAGUAUCUUCUAU
Molecule: long non-coding RNA, 1680 nt
Organism: Vespa velutina
Lineage: Eukaryota; Metazoa; Arthropoda; Insecta; Hymenoptera; Vespidae
Exons: 2
Source: RefSeq, a predicted model, not a curated record